Molecule: ribosomal RNA, 395 nt
Filed under: Adexius scrobipennis
Lineage: Eukaryota; Metazoa; Arthropoda; Insecta; Coleoptera; Curculionidae
Description: SSU rRNA
Rfam family: Eukaryotic small subunit ribosomal RNA
Source: RNAcentral
UCAUUAAAUCAGUUAUGGUUCCUUAGAUCGUACCCACACGUACUUGGAUAACUGUGGUAAUUCUAGAGCUAAUACAUGCAAACAGAGCUCCGACCGGAGACGGAAGGAGUGCUUUUAUUAGAUCAAAACCAAUCGGUGGCGGGCUCGCUCGUCAUCGUACAACUUGGUGACUCUGAAUAACUUUACGCUGAUCGCACGGUCACCGCACCGGCGACGCAUCUUUCAAAUGUCUGCCUUAUCAACUGUCGAUGGUAGGUUCUGCGCCUACCAUGGUUGUAACGGGUAACGGGGAAUCAGGGUUCGAUUCCGGAGAGGGAGCCUGAGAAACGGCUACCACAUCCAAGGAAGGCAGCAGGCGCGCAAAUUACCCACUCCCGGCACGGGGAGGUAGUGAC